UGGGCUAUUAGCUCAGUAGGUAGAGCAACGCCCUUUUAAGGCGUGGGUCGAUGGUUCGAAUCCAUCAUAGCUCAAAAG
RNAcentral lists this transfer RNA (78 nucleotides) under Treponema vincentii ATCC 35580. Its description in RNAcentral is "tRNA-Lys". It matches the Rfam family "tRNA". From Rfam's summary of the family: Transfer RNA (tRNA) molecules are approximately 80 nucleotides in length. Their secondary structure includes four short double-helical elements and three loops (D, anti-codon, and T loops). The record is from RNAcentral. Lineage: Bacteria; Pseudomonadati; Spirochaetota; Spirochaetia; Treponematales; Treponemataceae.